UACGUAGGGGGCAAGCGUUAUCCGGAUUUACUGGGUGUAAAGGGAGCGUAGACGGCGAAUAAAGUCUGAAGUGAAAUCCCGCAGCUCAACUGCGGAGUUGCUUUGGAAACUUAUAAGCUGGAGUGUCGGAGGGGUAAGCGGAAUUCCCAGUGUAGCGGUGAAAUGCGUAGAUAUUGGGAGGAACACCGGAGGCGAAGGCGGCUUACUGGAAGAUAACUGACGUUGAGGCUCGAAGGCGUGGGUAGCAAACAGG
Molecule: ribosomal RNA, 253 nt
Filed under: uncultured bacterium
Lineage: Bacteria
Description: partial 16S ribosomal RNA
Rfam family: Bacterial small subunit ribosomal RNA
Source: RNAcentral